GCAAGUCGAACGCGAAGUCUCCUUCGGGAGACAAGUAGAGUGGCGCACGGGUGAGUAACACGUAGGUAAUCUACCUUUGGAUGGGGAAUAACAAUCGGAAACGGUUGCUAAUACCGCAUAAUGCAGCGGCACCUAAUGGUGACAGUUGUUAAAGCGGGGGAUCGAAAGACCUCGCGCCUGAAGAGGAGCCUGCGGCGGAUUAGCUAGUUGGUAAGGUAAUGGCUUACCAAGGCUACGAUCCGUAACCGGCCUGAGAGGGCGGUCGGUCACACUGACACUGACAUACGGGUCAGACUCCUACGGGAGGCAGCAGUCGGGAAUUUUGGGCAAUGGGCGAAAGCCUGACCCAGCAACGCCGCGCGAAGGAUGAAAUCCCUCGGGAUGUAAACUUCGCAAGAAUGAGAAGAAUAAGUAGGGGACAAUACCCCCUAUGAUGACGGUAUCAUUUGUAAGCUCCGGCUAACUCCGUGCCAGCAGCCGCGGUAAUACGGGGGGAGCAAGCGUUGUUCGGAUUUACUGGGCGUAAAGGGCGCGUAGGCGGCCAGCACAAGUCAGUUGUGAAAUCUCCGAGCUUAACUCGGAAAGGUCAACUGAUACUGUGCGGCUAGAGUGCANAAGGGGCAACUGGAAUUCUUGGUGUAGCGGUGAAAUGCGUAGAUAUCAAGAGGAACCACCUGCGGCGAAGGCGGGUUGCUGGGCUGACAC
RNAcentral lists this ribosomal RNA (705 nucleotides) under uncultured bacterium. Its description in RNAcentral is "bacterial SSU rRNA". It matches the Rfam family "Bacterial small subunit ribosomal RNA", at positions 57 to 740 of the family's 1533-position model. The record is from RNAcentral.